UACACAUGCAGUCGAACGAUGAAGGGGAGCUUGCUCCUUGGAUUAGUGGCGAACGGGUGAGUAACACGUGAGUAACCUGCCCUUGACUCUGGGAUAAGCGUUGGAAACGACGUCUAAUACCGGAUAUGACCUGUGACGGCAUCGUCUGCAGGUGGAAAGAAUUUUGGUCAAGGAUGGACUCGCGGCCUAUCAGGUAGUUGGUGAGGUAACGGCUCACCAAGCCGACGACGGGUAGCCGGCCUGAGAGGGUGACCGGCCACACUGGGACUGAGACACGGCCCAGACUCCUACGGGAGGCAGCAGUGGGGAAUAUUGCACAAUGGGCGAAAGCCUGAUGCAGCAACGCCGCGUGAGGGACGACGGCCUUCGGGUUGUAAACCUCUUUUAGUUGGGAAGAAGGGAGCUUGCUCUUGACGGUACCAGCAGAAAAAGCACCGGCUAACUACGUGCCAGCAGCCGCGGUAAUACGUAGGGUGCAAGCGUUGUCCGGAAUUAUUGGGCGUAAAGAGCUCGUAGGCGGUUUGUCGCGUCUGCUGUGAAAUCUGGGGGCUCAACCCCCAGCCUGCAGUGGGUACGGGCAGACUAGAGUGCGGUAGGGGAGAUUGGAAUUCCUGGUGUAGCGGUGGAAUGCGCAGAUAUCAGGAGGAACACCGAUGGCGAAGGCAGAUCUCUGGGCCGUUACUGACGCUGAGGAGCGAAAGCAUGGGGAGCGAACAGAUAU
Molecule: ribosomal RNA, 721 nt
Filed under: Frondihabitans sp. 2.2.5-02
Lineage: Bacteria; Bacillati; Actinomycetota; Actinomycetes; Micrococcales; Microbacteriaceae
Description: bacterial SSU rRNA
Rfam family: Bacterial small subunit ribosomal RNA
Source: RNAcentral